RNAcentral lists this ribosomal RNA (497 nucleotides) under uncultured bacterium. RNAcentral describes it as "partial 16S ribosomal RNA". It matches the Rfam family "Bacterial small subunit ribosomal RNA", at positions 28 to 507 of the family's 1533-position model. The record is from RNAcentral.
GAUGAACGCUGGCGGCGUGCCUAAUACAUGCAAGUCGAGCGAACGGACGAGAAGCUUGCUUUUCUGAUGUUAGCGGCGGAAGGGUGAGUAACACGUGGAUAACCUACCUAUAAGACUGGGAUAACUUCGGGAAACCGGAGCUAAUACCGGAUAAUAUUUUGAACCGCAUGGUUCAAAAGUGAAAGACGGUCUUGCUGUCACUUAUAGAUGGAUCCGCGCUGCAUUAGCUAGUUGGUAAGGUAACAGCUUACCAAGGCAACGAUGCAUAGCCGACCUGAGAGGGUGAUCGGCCACACUGGAACUGAGACACGGUCCAGACUACUACGGGCGGCAGCAGUAGGGAAUCUUCCGCAAUGGGCGAAAGCCUGACGGAGCAACGACGCGUGAGUGAUGAAGGUCUUCGGAUCGUAAAACGCUGUUAUUAGGGAAGAACAUAUGUGUAAGUAACUGUGCACAUCUUGACGGUCCCUAAUCAGAAAGCCACGGCUAACUACGUG